Amphiprion ocellaris (clown anemonefish) is the source of this 494-nucleotide long non-coding RNA. The record is from Ensembl. NCBI's taxonomy places the organism in Eukaryota, Metazoa, Chordata, Actinopteri, Pomacentridae.
GGAACUAAUGAUUGGUUUGGCCGUUGCAGCAGGGGGUUCAAAUUGAUUGACGGACGUAGCUCCACUAUACUCCUGAACACUUCUGGACAGACCAGUCUUCUGUGGCUGCAGUGCCGAGUCCGCCGACGGAGUCUCUGCUUAUCGGCGGCUUCAUGCCCGUGUAGCGUCGGACAGCCGAGGGAGGUCAGUGUGCAGAGUCAGCACCUGAAGAUUAAGUGUCAUUCUCAAGGACUCGGCAGGAGGGUGGAUUUUUGCUGAAACCAGGCCUUGAACCCGACUCCUCCAGUUAAAGGACAGCUGUCUCUUCGCUCAUUCUGUAAGCUGCCUAACCACAGUAACUCUGGCAGCAGCAUCGCCAGCAUGGGACAGAAAGAGAAUCCCUGACCCAAAGUGCAAAAGACAAUAGAGACUAUGAUAUGGGAACGUCUCAACUGUCUGGUUCUCCAACACUGAACACCACAAGUCAGAGCAGUCAGGGGAACUCCGGGUUAAAC